GACGAACGCUGGCGGCGUGCCUAAUACAUGCAAGUAGGACGCAGUUGCGAACGGGUGAGUAACGCGUUGGUAACUACCUAUUAGAGGGGGAUAACUAUUGGAAACGAUAGCUAAUACCGCAUAUUCGUAGAUGGACCUGCGUUGUAUUAGCUAGUAGGUAGGGUAAUGGCCUACCUAGGCACCCAUACAUAGCCGAACUGAGAGGGUGAGCGGCCAAACUGGUAGUGGUAAACGGCCCAGACUCCUACGGGAAGCAACAGAAGGGAAUCGUCGGCAAUGGGGGGAACCCUGACCGGGCAACGCCGCGUGAGUGAAGAAGGUUUUCGGGUCGUAAAGCUCUGUUGUUAAGGAAACGGUACUUAACCAGAAAGAGACGGCUAACUACGUGCCAGCAGCCGCGGUAAUAC
This 407-nucleotide ribosomal RNA is filed under the name uncultured bacterium. Its description in RNAcentral is "partial 16S ribosomal RNA". It matches the Rfam family "Bacterial small subunit ribosomal RNA", at positions 28 to 526 of the family's 1533-position model. The record is from RNAcentral.